This 112-nucleotide ribosomal RNA is filed under the name Otolemur garnettii (small-eared galago). The record is from RNAcentral. Lineage: Eukaryota; Metazoa; Chordata; Mammalia; Primates; Galagidae.
GUCUAUGGCCAUACCACCCUGAAUGUGUCCAAUCUCAUCUGAUCUCAGAAGCUAAACAAGGUCAGGCCUGGUUAGCACAUAAAUGGGAAAAAUACAGCUAUGUCUAAAGGCU